AUCCUCAAGCAUCUUUUGCUUGGUCUUGGGGGAAGAUGCCCGCAUCUCUCCCGAAAUCUGUCAGCGGAAAAGCCAUGUCAGUCUACAGGUGUGAUACUUACUGUUCACCUGGUGACUCCGAUGGUGUUCUUGCUGUUAAUAGCCCCCCAGCUUCUCAUGAGUUUGACCUCGGAUCAGGUAGGGAUACCCGCUGAACUUAA
This 200-nucleotide unclassified non-coding RNA is filed under the name soil metagenome. RNAcentral describes it as "partial contains internal transcribed spacer 2 and large subunit ribosomal RNA". The record is from RNAcentral.